Molecule: ribosomal RNA, 2031 nt
Filed under: Triticum aestivum (bread wheat)
Lineage: Eukaryota; Viridiplantae; Streptophyta; Magnoliopsida; Poales; Poaceae
Description: partial small subunit ribosomal RNA
Source: RNAcentral
AUGAUGCAGGGGAGCAGGAGGGCCAAGGGCAAGAGGGAGAUGGCCCGGGAGGAGCAGCCGCAGCAGCAGCACAGCCCCAAGGGCCAAGCAUGGUUCUGCACCACGGGGCUGCCCAGCGACGUCGUGAUCGAGGUGGGCGACAUGACCUUCCAUCUCCACAAGUUCCCGCUAAUGUCCAAGAGCAAGAAGAUCCACGACCUGAUUAUGAACAAGGAGUCGAGCCUGGCGAGGCAUGCCGGGGGAGGGGAGGAGGAAGGGGAGGAUGAGGGGGCAGGGGAGAUCAGGGAGGAGCAGGUGGUGCUGGAGGCGGACGAAGAGGCCGACGCGCACCGCAUCCGCCUCCCGGACUUCCCCGGCGGCGCCGACGCGUUCGAGCUGGCCGCCAAGUUCUGCUACGGCGUCAAGCUCGACCUCACGCCGGCCACCGCCGCGCCGCUGCGCUGCGCCGCCGAGCGCCUCGGCAUGUCCGACGACCACGCCGAGGACAACCUCGUUUCCCGCGCAGACCGCUUCAUGUCGCACACCGUGCUCCGGAACCCCAGGGACGCCAUCCGCGCGCUCAAGUCCUGCGAGGACCUCCUCCCCCUCGCCGACGACCUCGGCCUCGUGUCCCGCUGCGUCGACGCCAUUGCGGCCAAGGCCGCCGCGUCCACGCCCACCGCGCUCUUCGGCUGGCCCAUCAAUGACGCGGGAGCCGGCGACCGGCCCCGUCACAAGAAAAAUGCCGGCGCCGGGGCCACGUCCACGCUGUUCGACGACCUCGCCGGCUUGUCCUUGGCCACGUUCACCCGUGUCAUUGCAGCCAUGAGGGAGCGGGGCGUCGGCCCUGAGGUCCUCGAAGGGGCUCUCAUCGCCUACGCCAAGCGAUCCAUCCCUGGGCUGUCACGCUCCGACCGGCACACUGGCGGUGGCGGCGCCGCCGCGGCUGCCGCCCCGCGGUCGGCGGAUGGCGACCAGAAGGCGCUUCUCGAGACCGUCAUUGUCAACCUCCCCGAGGAGACCAUCAAGAGCAGUGCCCACACCGGCACGGCAGUGGGCGCCACCACCGCGCGCGUCCUGUUCGGCCUCCUGCGCACGGCAAACAUUCUCCAGGCAUCAGAGGCUUCCCGUGACAUGCUAGAGCGGCGCGUGGCCUCCAGGCUACCCGACGCGGCCGUCGACGACCUGCUCAUCCCGAGCUACUCGUACCUCGUGGAGACGCUCUACGACGUGGACUGCGUGGAGCGCAUCGUGCGGCACUUCCUCGAGGGCCGAGGCGGCGGCGUCGAGGAGGUCGACGAGGAGGGCAGCGAGGCGGAGACGCCGGGCAGAGAGGCCAGCCGACGGGCCAUGCUGGCCGUGGGCAGGCUGAUGGACGCCUACCUGGGGGAGAUCGCCACGGACGCCAACCUGAAGACGGACAAGUUCUGCGACCUCGCCUGGGCAUUGCCGGACGGCGCCCGCGUCUACGACGAUGGCCUUUACCGUGCCGUCGACAUCUACAUCAAGGCACAUCCAGCGCUGAGGGAGGAGGAGAAGGAGAAGGUGAGCGGCGUGGUGGACGGGCGCAAGCUGACGCUGGAAGCGUGCACGCACGCGGCGCAGAACGAGCGGCUGCCCCUGCGGACGGUGGUGCAGGUGCUUUUCUUCGAGCAGCUCCAGCUGCGUCGGGCCAUCGCCCGGACGAUCGUGGCGAAUGAAGGCGGUGCGGCAGGCCAAGGAGAGGAAGAAGGCGAGAGCGACGGUGGCCGGACGUGGCGAGUGGCGACGAGGGGGAACCAAAUGCUCAGGCUGGACAUGGACAGCAUGCGGAACCGGGUGCAGGAGCUGGAGCGCGAGUGCACCACCAUGAGGAAAGCCAUCCAGAAGAUAGACCGCCGAGGCGGCGCUGCUGGGGAUAGAGGAGCGGCGGCGGCACCGGCCGCGGAGGGCAGGUGGGGCUCAAUGGUGACCAAGAGGUUCGGAUGCAAGUUCCCGGCGCAGGUCUGCCAGUCACAGCCGCGGUCCGUGGUGGCGCGGCCUCGCCGGGCACGGAUUGAGCAGAGCCCCUGA